RNAcentral lists this transfer RNA (72 nucleotides) under Perca flavescens (yellow perch). It matches the Rfam family "tRNA". From Rfam's summary of the family: Transfer RNA (tRNA) molecules are approximately 80 nucleotides in length. Their secondary structure includes four short double-helical elements and three loops (D, anti-codon, and T loops). The record is from Rfam by way of RNAcentral. Lineage: Eukaryota; Metazoa; Chordata; Actinopteri; Perciformes; Percidae.
UCCCUGGUGGUCUAGUGGUUAGGAUUUGGCGCUCUCACCGCCGCGGCCUGGGUUCGAUUCCCGGUCAGAGAA